This 29-nucleotide unclassified non-coding RNA is filed under the name Mus musculus (house mouse). RNAcentral describes it as "oocyte_clustered_small_RNA13177". Lineage: Eukaryota; Metazoa; Chordata; Mammalia; Rodentia; Muridae. The record is from RNAcentral.
UGAGCCAUCUUGCCAGCCCAGGAGACAGC